CCUACGGGAGGCAGCAGUGAGGAAUAUUGGUCAAUGGACGAGAGUCUGAACCAGCCAAGUAGCGUGAAGGAUGACUGCCCUAUGGGUUGUAAACCUCUUUUGUCGGGGAGCAAAGCGAGUCACGUGUGACUCAUUGAGAGUACCCGAAGAAAAAGCAUCGGCUAACUCCGUGCCAGCAGCCGCGGUAAUACGGAGGAUGCGAGCGUUAUCCGGAUUUAUUGGGUUUAAAGGGUGCGCAGGCGGGGGUACAAGUCAGCGGUCAAAUUGCGGGGCUCAACCCCGUACUGCCGUUGAAACUGCAGCCCUUGAGUGCGCGAGAGGUAUGCGGAAUGCGUGGUGUAGCGGUGAAAUGCAUAGAUAUCACGCAGAACUCCGAUUGCGAAGGCAGCAUACCGGCGCGCAACUGACGCUCAUGCACGAAAGCGUGGGUAUCGAACAGGAUUAGAUACCCGGGUAGUC
Molecule: ribosomal RNA, 459 nt
Filed under: uncultured bacterium
Lineage: Bacteria
Description: partial 16S ribosomal RNA
Rfam family: Bacterial small subunit ribosomal RNA
Source: RNAcentral